AAGUAACAACUCAUCAGCUUUUGGUACCCUCUCUGCCAUAAUAUAAUAAUAACAAAAUGACCAAAUUACUUAACACCCAAAAUUCCUCUCCAUGCCCUUUCUAUUUAUACCCCUUUCCCUUAUGCCCUUUCUCUUUUAAUAUAUGCCCUUCUCUCUCUCUCUCUCUCCACCGUGUGCUCCGCCGUGCGCCACUAGCUGUUGAAGCUGCCAGCAUGAUCUGAAUCUGAACCCUCCGCCACCCGGCCCUGGCUCCGACAUCGGUCCAUCGGAAUCGGAUCAUAUUGGUAGCUUCACCUGCUCAUGGCAUUUUACUUGGGAAACUCAAAUAUUAUCUCUGCACAAAGAUUGGAGAGAAGAUAUGAUCAUAUUAGGGUUUCAAUGACACAAAUUUUGAAUAUGUCGGGAGAAGGAUCCAACAUUCGAUUUAUUUUGAAGUACUAUAUUAUCUAUUCAACUAUGUUUAGAUUAGAUUAAUUAUUGAUUAAAAAUUACUUCUAAUUUCUAAAUUUGUAUAAAAAUAACAAUUUAGUCUCUAAACUUUAGUUUGUAAUAAUUUAGUCCCUGAACGUUCAAUUUUGUAACAAUUUAGUCUAUGAACUUUACUAUGUAAUAAUUUAGUUUUAUACUUUAAAAUUUGUGACAAUUUAAUCCUUAUUAUAGAAAUUAGUGUUAAUAUUUAAUGA
Long non-coding RNA from Benincasa hispida (wax gourd), 683 nucleotides. RefSeq lists it as uncharacterized. The record is from RefSeq and is a predicted model, not a curated record. Lineage: Eukaryota; Viridiplantae; Streptophyta; Magnoliopsida; Cucurbitales; Cucurbitaceae.